GAUGAACGCUGGCGGCGUGCCUAAUACAUGCAAGUCGAGCGAACGGACGAGAAGCUUGCUUCUCUGAUGUUAGCGGCGGACGGGUGAGUAACACGUGGAUAACCUACCUAUAAGACUGGGAUAACUUCGGGAAACCGGAUCUAAUACCGGUUAAUAUUUUGAACCGCAUGGUUCAAAAGUGAAAGACGGUUCUGCUGUCACUUAUAGAUGGAACCUCGCUGCAUUAGCUAGUUGGUAAGGUAACGGCUUACCAAGGCAACGAUGCAUAGCCGACCUGAGAGGGUGAUCGGCCACACUGGAACUGAGACACGGUCCAGACUCCUACGGGAGGCAGCAGUAGGGAAUCUUCCGCAAUGGGCGAAAGCCUGACGGAGCAACGCCGCGUGAGUGAUGAAGGUCUUCGGAUCGUAAAACUCUGUUAUUAGGGAAGAACAUAUGUGUAAGUAACUGUGCACAUCUUGACGGUACCUAAUCAGAAAGCCACGGCUAACUACGUG
Molecule: ribosomal RNA, 497 nt
Filed under: uncultured bacterium
Lineage: Bacteria
Description: partial 16S ribosomal RNA
Rfam family: Bacterial small subunit ribosomal RNA
Source: RNAcentral